UAAGUUCUGCCAAUUGGUUUAUGGGA
Molecule: non-coding RNA, 26 nt
Filed under: Mus musculus (house mouse)
Lineage: Eukaryota; Metazoa; Chordata; Mammalia; Rodentia; Muridae
Source: RNAcentral